RNAcentral lists this ribosomal RNA (3353 nucleotides) under Streptomyces tirandamycinicus. Its description in RNAcentral is "23S ribosomal RNA". It matches the Rfam family "Bacterial large subunit ribosomal RNA". Lineage: Bacteria; Bacillati; Actinomycetota; Actinomycetes; Kitasatosporales; Streptomycetaceae. The record is from RNAcentral.
GGCCAAGUUUUUAAGGGCGCACGGUGGAUGCCUUGGCACCAGGAACCGAUGAAGGACGUGGGAGGCCGCGAUAGGCCCCGGGGAGCUGUCAACCGAGCUGUGAUCCGGGGGUGUCCGAAUGGGGAAACCCGGCAGUCGUCAUGGGCUGUCACCCGCUGCUGAACACAUAGGCAGUGUGGAGGGAACGAGGGGAAGUGAAACAUCUCAGUACCCUCAGGAAGAGAAAACAACCGUGAUUCCGGGAGUAGUGGCGAGCGAAACUGGAUGAGGCCAAACCGUAUGUGUGUGAGACCCGGCAGGGGUUGCGCAUGCGGGGUUGUGGGAUUUCUCUUUCAUCGUCUGCCGGCGAUGAGACGAGUGAGAAACCGUUGAUGUAGGCGAAGGGCAUGCGAAAGGCCCGGCGUAGAGGGUAAGACCCCCGUAGCUGAAACAUUAGCGGCUCGUUUGAGUUAUUCCCAAGUAGCACGGGGCCCGAGAAAUCCCGUGUGAAUCUGGCGGGACCACCCGCUAAGCCUAAAUAUUCCCUGGUGACCGAUAGCGGAUAGUACCGUGAGGGAAUGGUGAAAAGUACCGCGGGAGCGGAGUGAAAUAGUACCUGAAACCGUGUGCCUACAAGCCGUGGGAGCGUCGGACGUGCCCUUUGGGGUGCGUCUCGUGACUGCGUGCCUUUUGAAGAAUGAGCCUGCGAGUUAGCGGUGUGUAGCGAGGUUAACCCGUGUGGGGAAGCCGUAGCGAAAGCGAGUCCGAAGAGGGCGUUUGAGUUGCACGCUCUAGNNNNNNNNNNNNNNNNNNNNNNNNNNNNNNNNNNNNNNNNNNNNNNNNNNNNNNNNNNNNNNNNNNNNNNNNNNNNNNNNNNNNNNNNNNNNNNNNNNNNGCGUCUCGUGACUGCGUGCCUUUUGAAGAAUGAGCCUGCGAGUUAGCGGUGUGUAGCGAGGUUAACCCGUGUGGGGAAGCCGUAGCGAAAGCGAGUCCGAAGAGGGCGUUUGAGUUGCACGCUCUAGACCCGAAGCGGAGUGAUCUAGCCAUGGGCAGGUUGAAGCGGAGGUAAGACUUCGUGGAGGACCGAACCCACCAGGGUUGAAAACCUGGGGGAUGACCUGUGGUUAGGGGUGAAAGGCCAAUCAAACUCCGUGAUAGCUGGUUCUCCCCGAAAUGCAUUUAGGUGCAGCGUCGUGUGUUUCUUGCCGGAGGUAGAGCACUGGAUAGGCGAUGGGCCCUACCGGGUUACUGACCUUAGCCAAACUCCGAAUGCCGGUAAGUGAGAGCGCGGCAGUGAGACUGUGGGGGAUAAGCUCCAUGGUCGAGAGGGAAACAGCCCAGAGCAUCGACUAAGGCCCCUAAGCGUACGCUAAGUGGGAAAGGAUGUGGAGUCGCAGAGACAACCAGGAGGUUGGCUUAGAAGCAGCCACCCUUGAAAGAGUGCGUAAUAGCUCACUGGUCAAGUGAUUCCGCGCCGACAAUGUAGCGGGGCUCAAGCGUACCGCCGAAGUCGUGUCAUUGCGAUAUGUACCCCCAACGGGGAUCGUGAUGGGUAGGGGAGCGUCGUGUGCCGGGUGAAGCAGCCGUGGAAGCGAGUUGUGGACGGUUCACGAGUGAGAAUGCAGGCAUGAGUAGCGAUACACACGUGGGAAACGUGUGCGCCGAUUGACUAAGGGUUCCUGGGUCAAGCUGAUCUGCCCAGGGUAAGUCGGGACCUAAGGCGAGGCCGACAGGCGUAGUCGAUGGACAACCGGUUGAUAUUCCGGUACCCGCUUUGAAACGCCCAGUAUCGAGCCCAUUAAUGCUAAGGCCGUGAAGCCGCCGGCUGAGUCUUCGGACGAGGUCGGAGUGGUGGAGCCGCUGACCCGAGGUGGUAGUAGGUAAGCGAUGGGGUGACGCAGGAAGGUAGUCCAGCCCGGGCGGUGGUUGUCCCGGGGUAAGGGUGUAGGACGUCACGUAGGCAAAUCCGCGUGACACGUAGUCUGAGACCUGAUGCCGAGCCGAUUGUGGUGAAGUGGAUGAUCCUAUGCUGUCGAGAAAAGCCUCUAGCGAGUUUCAUGGCGGCCCGUACCCUAAACCGACUCAGGUGGUCAGGUAGAGAAUACCGAGGCGUUCGGGUGAACUAUGGUUAAGGAACUCGGCAAAAUGCCCCCGUAACUUCGGGAGAAGGGGGGCCACACCUGGUGAUCCGAUUUACUCGGUGAGCUGGGGGUGGCCGCAGAGACCAGCGAGAAGCGACUGUUUACUAAAAACACAGGUCCGUGCGAAGCCGUAAGGCGAUGUAUACGGACUGACGCCUGCCCGGUGCUGGAACGUUAAGGGGACCGGUUAGCUCCAUUUCGGUGGGGCGAAGCUGAGAACUUAAGCGCCAGUAAACGGCGGUGGUAACUAUAACCAUCCUAAGGUAGCGAAAUUCCUUGUCGGGUAAGUUCCGACCUGCACGAAUGGCGUAACGACUUCUCGACUGUCUCAACCAUAGGCCCGGUGAAAUUGCACUACGAGUAAAGAUGCUCGUUUCGCGCAGCAGGACGGAAAGACCCCGGGACCUUUACUACAGUUUGAUAUUGGUGUUCGGUUCGGCUUGUGUAGGAUAGGUGGGAGACUGUGAAGCUUGGACGCCAGUUCAGGUGGAGUCGUCGUUGAAAUACCACUCUGGUCGUGCUGGAUGUCUAACCUGGGUCCGUGAUCCGGAUCAGGGACAGUGUCUGAUGGGUAGUUUAACUGGGGCGGUUGCCUCCUAAAGGGUAACGGAGGCGCCCAAAGGUUCCCUCAGCCUGGUUGGCAAUCAGGUGUUGAGUGUAAGUGCACAAGGGAGCUUGACUGUGAGACCGACGGGUCGAGCAGGGACGAAAGUCGGGACUAGUGAUCCGGCGGUGGCUUGUGGAAGCGCCGUCGCUCAACGGAUAAAAGGUACCCCGGGGAUAACAGGCUGAUCUUCCCCAAGAGUCCAUAUCGACGGGAUGGUUUGGCACCUCGAUGUCGGCUCGUCGCAUCCUGGGGCUGGAGUCGGUCCCAAGGGUUGGGCUGUUCGCCCAUUAAAGCGGUACGCGAGCUGGGUUUAGAACGUCGUGAGACAGUUCGGUCCCUAUCCGCUGUGCGCGUAGGAGUCUUGAGAAGGGCUGUCCCUAGUACGAGAGGACCGGGACGGACGAACCUCUGGUGUGCCAGUUGUCCUGCCAAGGGCAUGGCUGGUUGGCUACGUUCGGGAGGGAUAACCGCUGAAAGCAUCUAAGCGGGAAGCCUGCUUCGAGAUGAGGACUCCCACCCACUUGAUGGGGUAAGGCUCCCAGUAGACGACUGGGUUGAUAGGCCGGAUAUGGAAGCCAGGUGACUGGUGGAGUUGACCGGUACUAAUAGGCCGAGGGCUUGUCCUC